CAUUUGGACGGUUGACUUAGCAUAUCUGUUAAACAAGUUUUCAGUCAGCUUUUCUUUCUGUACCGUGACCCUUGGAGCAAAUCCACAAUAUUUUGCUGAAUCCUUUUGUAGGGUACUUGUUCUGACAAACUUCUACUGCAUGAGGCUUCUAAAGUUCUCAUCAAUAAUGUUCUAAAAAAUGGUCAUUACAUAGGAGCAAUUGCAAGAAGACAUCGAUCGAGUGGUCGAGCUAUUUGGGAAGGCGCUCGAUGCUGGAAUUAGUAUUCAAGCCACUCAACCGCUAGAAGGCUGCCAAUAUGUGGGCAUUCAGUCAAUACAGAUUGUCUGCGCUUUUUUUGGGUUGGGCUCCAAAGUUGCAAUGUUCCAGUAUUCCUCAGUCGAAAUUUACAAUGCCUGCAAACCACAGCCUACUCUUGAGAUUCACAAUCCCGAUAUGCACAAAGAUGCCCCAAGGUAUGUUUAUACGCAUCUCAUUGCACUAAGGUAUUUAGCUGAUUUAAAAGCAGAUUCAUGACUCGCAAAAAAGUAAAGGACUGCUGUUUGAAGCUGUUUUGGUUUUGAUUGAACCAAGUUGCUGCCCUCGUGUUUCGUUCUCUGAUUGUUGAGUCUUCAAUGAGAGCUGAUUCUAGUUAUAUAGAGGUGAACAAGCUUUUGAUUAUUUCUUUUGUUAAUUUGGCACAACAUAUAGAGGUGAACAAGCUUAUUAAAGGAAGAUCCCUGUACAAUCAAGAGUUCAUACAAUAGAUGAAACGAUAUUGUGAUUCUCUCAAAGGUGGCUUCAUGAGCAAGCAAUCAUUCACCUUGUUCACUAAAAUUUCAGACUAUAGCUCAGAUAAGGCUUUGAGCAUUCCUUGCUACAAUGCUUCCGAGAGAAGGGAAACCGGCAAAGGGGAAAAGAGACGAAUAGAAGGGCAUUGGUGCCCUCUCACACACAGGUCAAGUAUACAUCCACAUGCCACAAGGCUGAGGCUUCCACAUGAACAAGAGAAUGGUGCACAUUGCCUUACAUGACACAUUUAUUUCCCAAUCACUGUGCAAUUCUUAGUUUAGUUCUGUAUUGGUUGUUGCCAAAUAAUUUGUGAGAUAUUGAGAUCGAUAACUUGGUUUAAGUAUUGCACCUUUUGACAAAUAUAAUUUGCCAUGAACAUGGAUAUUGAAGGCUAUACUCUGAAAUGCAGUCUCACUACAUAAUUGACUAAUAAAAAUCUGUUUUCUUAUUACAUGACUAGGGGUGCUUCCAGCAGCGCUGCCCAGCGGCUUACCGUGGACGCUGGACUGCCAGUGUUGCCUGGGUUAGAUGACAUAUUGGACGUCCCAGAAGGGCUUGACGGGCAGGGCAACGAUAUCAGCUCGUGGUUUACGGAUGGCCUUGACGACUCGUUGCAAGACAUUGAUCUUUCUGGCGCCCUAGAAAUCCCAGACGAUGACCUCACCCAGCUGGGAUUUAUGUAAGGAGAAGGAAGCAAUCGUUGUUUGUCCUGUGCAUAUACAUGUCUUUCCUUCACCUAAUGUAUGGUAGCGCUGAUCCAUUGAUCUCCCUGCCACAACCUGGUAGGUCAGAGGUUGUAAUCUGUAAUUAGGCUGUUGGAUUCGUGUCGAUAUUCAGUGUCUGCUGGCAUGGACUGGAUAGUUGCAGAUGAGGCGAGGUAGCAGCAACAAGAACAUGCUGAGAUUUGUUAAUGUUAUCCUGUAGUUUGUGCUUCU
Long non-coding RNA from Zea mays, 1704 nucleotides. RefSeq lists it as uncharacterized. The transcript has 3 exons. The record is from RefSeq and is a predicted model, not a curated record. Lineage: Eukaryota; Viridiplantae; Streptophyta; Magnoliopsida; Poales; Poaceae.